RNAcentral lists this ribosomal RNA (427 nucleotides) under uncultured bacterium. RNAcentral describes it as "partial 16S ribosomal RNA". It matches the Rfam family "Bacterial small subunit ribosomal RNA", at positions 355 to 774 of the family's 1533-position model. The record is from RNAcentral.
UGGGGAAUAUUGCACAAUGGGCGCAAGCCUGAUGCAGCCAUGCCGCGUGUAUGAAGAAGGCCUUCGGGUUGUAAAGUACUUUCAGCGAGGAGGAAGGCGUUGUGGUUAAUAACCGCAACGAUUGACGUUACUCGCAGAAGAAGCACCGGCUAACUCCGUGCCAGCAGCCGCGGUAAUACGGAGGGUGCAAGCGUUAAUCGGAAUUACUGGGCGUAAAGCGCACGCAGGCGGUCUGUCAAGUCGGAUGUGAAAUCCCCGGGCUCAACCUGGGAACUGCAUCCGAAACUGGCAGGCUAGAGUCUUGUAGAGGGGGGUAGAAUUCCAGGUGUAGCGGUGAAAUGCGUAGAGAUCUGGAGGAAUACCGGUGGCGAAGACGGCCCCCUGGACAAAGACUGACGCUCAGGUGCGAAAGCGUGGGGAGCAAACA